GCUGGUAUAUAAUGAUGUGCUACGUGACCGCUAGCGACACAGCUAUGUUAGCAUAACAUAAACAAGCUAACUUUUUUUCCACUCGAUAAAAGUUAACGUGAGUGUUCUCAGUGGUCAGGAACAAAUGUAAUCGCAUGGCAGGAUGCUGUAAACGGACCAAACUUCAGCCAGGAGAACAACUGAGAUAAUCCAUCCACAAUACGAGACACAGACGGAGUGAAGAGACACACUGUUCUUCUGAAGUUUAACAACUUUUCUGCAUCAGGAUCAAAGUCAGAAUGAAAAUCCUCCAUUUUCUAUUUUUCUGCUUCUUUUCAGAUCCAGCUCGGCUCGUCAAGGCAAAACAUAAUAUCUGGUCUGCUGCUGAAAGAGCAAAUGGUACACUUAGCUGCAACUUAUUUUUGUCUGGAAGCACAAAGUUUUUCUGCAAGGAAAAAUGUGAGCGAGCAGAAGAUACCCUCAUUAAAACAGAUGGAAGCACAGCUCAGAGUGGGAGAUUCAGCAUUAAAUAUGAAGAUGGAGCUUCAGGAAGUGGAACUUUGCUUUUGUUCUUCACACACCUGAUCAAGUCUGACUCAGGAAUGUACAGGUGUGCUUUGGGAAGCUCUUCUGUUCCAGAUUCUUACUAUGACUUUGAGGUCAGAGUUUCAAAUGAUCUGGAUAAAAAUGCUGGUUUUUAUCGCACCGAAACUGAAGGAGAAAAAAUCACAAUGGCAUGUUCCAACAACACAUAUGGACAGAGGAAGUUCGUAUGUAAGAAUCAGUGUAAGAAUGAAGGGGAGAUCCUCAUUGACACAACUAAUAACAAAUCUGUGAAUGGCAGAUAUAAAAUUGAAUACAGACCAGGAUCCAUGUAUGGACUGUAUAUGAACAUCAGAAAGCUGACCAAGUCAGACACAGGAUGGUACUUGUGUGGUUAUGGAAACCCUCUGUCUCCUGAUUCAUACGCCAGAGAAUAUGUUCUUGUCAUUGAUGAUACAAACCCAGUUAUUUCCACACCACAAGGAACAGAGUGAAAGUGUCACUCCAGGAGUCUCUACACAUUACACUUUAUUUUUUUUUUUUAAAUAAACAAUUGUUAUGUUGAGGUGUCCAAUCGAUCUGUAGUAAUUAAGGUAGCUGGUAAUAAACUGU
Molecule: long non-coding RNA, 1134 nt
Organism: Oreochromis aureus
Lineage: Eukaryota; Metazoa; Chordata; Actinopteri; Cichliformes; Cichlidae
Source: Ensembl